GCCGGGCAUGAUGGCUCAUGCCUGUAGUCCCAGCUACUUGGGAGGCUGAGGCAGGAGAAUCACUUGAACCUGGGAGGUGGAGGUUGCAGUGAGCUGAGAUUGCACCACUGUACUCCAGCCUGGGUGACAGAGUGAGACUCCGUCUCAA
Molecule: non-coding RNA, 148 nt
Filed under: Pan paniscus (pygmy chimpanzee)
Lineage: Eukaryota; Metazoa; Chordata; Mammalia; Primates; Hominidae
Also listed under: 1 other name
Source: Rfam by way of RNAcentral